GGAGAGGUGUCCGAGUGGUUGAAGGAGCACGCCUGGAAAGUGUGUAUACGGCAACGUAUCGAGGGUUCGAAUCCCUCUCUCUCCGCCA
This 88-nucleotide transfer RNA is filed under the name Gammaproteobacteria bacterium. RNAcentral describes it as "tRNA-Ser". It matches the Rfam family "tRNA". Rfam says of the family: Transfer RNA (tRNA) molecules are approximately 80 nucleotides in length. Their secondary structure includes four short double-helical elements and three loops (D, anti-codon, and T loops). Lineage: Bacteria; Pseudomonadati; Pseudomonadota; Gammaproteobacteria. RNAcentral also lists the same sequence under 3 other names. The record is from RNAcentral.